GACGAACGCUGGCGGCGUGCUUAACACAUGCAAGUCGAACGGAAAGGCCCUGCUUUUGUGGGGUGCUCGAGUGGCGAACGGGUGAGUAACACGUGAGUAACCUGCCCUUGACUUUGGGAUAACUUCAGGAAACUGGGGCUAAUACCGGAUAGGAGCUCCUGCUGCAUGGAGGGGGUUGGAAAGUUUCGGCGGUUGGGGAUGGACUCGCGGCUUAUCAGCUUGUUGGUGGGGUAGUGGCUUACCAAGGCUUUGACGGGUAGCCGGCCUGAGAGGGUGACCGGCCACAUUGGGACUGAGAUACGGCCCAGACUCCUACGGGCGGCAGCAGUGGGGAAUAUUGCACAAUGGGCGGAAGCCUGAUGCAGCAACGCCGCGUGCGGGAUGACGGCCUUCGGGUUGUAAACCGCUUUCGCCUGUGACGAAGCGUGAGUGACGGUAAUGGGUAAAGAAGCACCGGCUAACUACGUG
Molecule: ribosomal RNA, 468 nt
Filed under: uncultured bacterium
Lineage: Bacteria
Description: partial 16S ribosomal RNA
Rfam family: Bacterial small subunit ribosomal RNA
Source: RNAcentral